GAUGAACGCUGGCGGCGUGCCUAAUACAUGCAAGUCGAGCGAACAGACGAGGAGCUUGCUCCUCUGACGUUAGCGGCGGACGGGUGAGUAACACGUGGAUAACCUACCUAUAAGACUGGGACAACUUCGGGAAACCGGAGCUAAUACCGGAUAAUAUAUUCACCCGCAUGGUUCAAUAGUGAAAGAUGGUUUUGCUGUCACUUAUAGAUGGAUCCGCGCCGCAUUAGCUAGUUGGUAAGGUAACGGCUUACCAAGGCAACGAAGGGUAGCCGACCUGAGAGGGGGAUCGGCCGCACUGGAGCUGAGACGCGGUCCAGACUCCUACGGGAGGCAGCAGUAGGGAAUCUGCGGCAAUGGGCGAAAGCCUGACGGAGCAACGCCGCGUGAGUGAUGAAGGUCUUCGGAUCGUAAAACUCUGUUAUUAGGGAAGAACAAAUGUGUAAGUAACUAUGCACGUCUUGACGGUACCUAAACAGAAAGCCACGGCUAACUACGUG
Molecule: ribosomal RNA, 497 nt
Filed under: uncultured bacterium
Lineage: Bacteria
Description: partial 16S ribosomal RNA
Rfam family: Bacterial small subunit ribosomal RNA
Source: RNAcentral